GAUGAACGCUGGCGGCGUGCCUAAUACAUGCAAGUCGAGCGAACAGACGAGGAGCUUGCUCCUCUGACGUUAGCGGCGGACGGGUGAGUAACACGUGGAUAACCUACCUAUAAGACUGGGAUAACUUCGGGAAACCGGAGUUAAUACCGGAUAAUAUAUUGAACCGCAUGGUUCAAUAGUGAAAGACGGUUUUGCUGUCACUUAUAGAUGGAUCCGCGCCGCAUUAGCUAGUUGGUAAGGUAACGGCUUACCAAGGCAACGAUGCGUAGCCGACCUGAGAGGGUGAUCGGCCACACUGGAACUGAGACACGGUCCAGACUCCUACGGGAGGCAGCAGUAGGGAAUCUUCCGCAAAGGGCGAAAGCCUGACGGAGCAACGCCGCGUGAGUGAUGAAGGUCUUCGGAUCGUAAAACUCUGUUAUUAGGGAAGAACAAAUGUGUAAGUAACUAUGCACGUCUUGACGGUACCUAAUCAGAAAGCCACGGCUAACUACGUG
This 497-nucleotide ribosomal RNA is filed under the name uncultured bacterium. RNAcentral's name for it is "partial 16S ribosomal RNA". It matches the Rfam family "Bacterial small subunit ribosomal RNA", at positions 28 to 507 of the family's 1533-position model. The record is from RNAcentral.